Non-coding RNA from Ciona savignyi (Pacific transparent sea squirt), 72 nucleotides. The record is from Rfam. Lineage: Eukaryota; Metazoa; Chordata; Ascidiacea; Phlebobranchia; Cionidae.
GGCUCGUUGGUCUAGGGGUAUGAUUCUCGCUUCGGGUGCGAGAGGUCCGGGAUUCAAUUCCCGGACGAGCCC